CCUACGGGUGGCAGCAGUGGGGGAUAUUGCACAAUGGGGGGAACCCUGAUGCAGCGACGCCGCGUGGGUGAAGGAGUGCUUCGGCAUGUAAAGCCCUAUCGGCAGGGAAGAAGCAAGACGGUACCUGACUAAGAAGCCCCGGCUAACUACGUGCCAGCAGCCGCGGUAAUACGUAGGUGGCAAGCGUUGUCCGGAUUUACUGGGUGUAAAGGGCGUGUAGCCGGGCUGACAAGUCAGAUGUGAAAUUCCGGGGCUCAACCCCGGACCUGCAUUUGAAACUGUUGGUCUUGAGUAUCGGAGAGGCAGGCGGAAUUCCUAGUGUAGCGGUGAAAUGCGUAGAUAUUAGGAGGAACACCAGUGGCGAAGGCGGCCUGCUGGACGACAACUGACGGUGAGGCGCGAAAGCGUGGGGAGCAAACAGGAUUAGAUACCCGGGUAGUC
RNAcentral lists this ribosomal RNA (441 nucleotides) under uncultured bacterium. Its description in RNAcentral is "partial 16S ribosomal RNA". It matches the Rfam family "Bacterial small subunit ribosomal RNA", at positions 338 to 795 of the family's 1533-position model. The record is from RNAcentral.